AAACCAUUCUCCUGAUUCAGCCUCCUGAGUAGCUGGGAUUACAGGUGCACACCACCACGCCCAGCCUCCAAACAAUCGCAUGGCAGCAGUGGCGGUGAGGAUCCGCAGGAGCCUAGAACUCUGAGGGAGAGGAACUUCCUCUGAUCAGAAUGUAUGGUGCUAAGAGGGCAAGGCAAACCUCCAUUGCUUUUUCUCUCUGCUGCAAGGCCCCACCUGUGAACAGAUACAGGAAGUGCAUCGUAGAGCAGGGAAAUAAAGCCCUGGAUUUCUGGCCAGAGAAUCAAAAAGAGGAGUCCCAGGGAACCAGAAAGUAUCAGAAUGACCAGAAAGGAAGAGGACAAGAAGAUGACCCCAUACCGUUUUAUGAGCUCCUGGGAUCACUUCCCAGUUGUACAUUGCGUGGAUCUGACCCUAAACCACAAACCACCAGCACAACUGCACCAAGAGAUAGACCAUCCAUCACACAGGCCCCAGACCGGCCACCGGGUGGCACAUGUCUGCAGAAGAUGUGAAUAGCACUGUAAAGGUUUUGAAAUGAGAAUUGAUGUUGAAAGCACAGUCCACAGUAGGUUAAUGAGAACUUGUGGUUGAACCAAGCCAGGUAGAUUACCUACUAAAAAAGAAACAUUAACACUUCCCACAGGUUUUAAACAAGAUCCAGAGUCUCAUAAUAUUCAAAAUUUCUGGGAUAAAACUCAAAAUUAACUGGCAUUUGAAGAACCUGGAAAUCUCAA
Chlorocebus sabaeus (green monkey) is the source of this 734-nucleotide non-coding RNA. The record is from RefSeq and is a predicted model, not a curated record. NCBI's taxonomy places the organism in Eukaryota, Metazoa, Chordata, Mammalia, Primates, Cercopithecidae.